RNAcentral lists this ribosomal RNA (477 nucleotides) under uncultured bacterium. RNAcentral describes it as "partial 16S ribosomal RNA". It matches the Rfam family "Bacterial small subunit ribosomal RNA", at positions 28 to 507 of the family's 1533-position model. The record is from RNAcentral.
GAUUAACGCUGGCGGCGUGCAUAACACAUGCAAGUCGAACGAUGAAACUUAAAUGAUUUCUUCGGAAUGAACUUAAGUGGAUUAGUGGCGGACGGGUGAGUAACGCGUGAGUAACCUGCCUUACACAAGGGGAUAGCCGUUGGAAACGACGAAUAAUACCCUAUGAAACUAUCACUUCGCAUGAAGCGAUAGUCAAAGUGUUAGCGGUGUAAGAUGGACUUGCGUCUGAUUAGCUAGUUGGUGAGAAAAAAGCCCACCAAGGCAACGAUCAGUAGCCGGCUUGAGAGAGUGUACGGCCACAUUGGGACUGAGACACGGCCCAGACUCCUACGGGAGGCAGCAGUGGGGAAUUUUGCACAAUGGGGGAAACCCUGAUGCAGCGACGCCGCGUGAUUUAGAAGGCCUUCGGGUUGUAAAAAUCUUUUGUAUAGGAAGAAAAUGACAGUACUAUACGAAUAAGGGCCGGCUAAUUACGUG